AUUGAGGUCUAAAGGGACUAAAAUUGAACAUUAUUUGAUUUCAUCAAAAAUUAAAUUCUUGGGGUUCUAUGAUAUGCUGAAUCUAACCAUGUAUUUAGAUUUUGGAUAUUGGACCAUAAUAGGUGAAUGUCCAAUUUAAAAUUUUUAACUUUUUAAGUUUAAGUUCUUGGACCACAUUCAUUCUGUGUCAGAAACCUAUGUUGUGUCAACUAUUUAAUCAUAAUCCAAAUUCAGAGCUGUAUCAAGCUUAAAUGUUGUGUCCAUACUUGCCCCAACUGUUCAUGGUUCGACCUAUGCGGUCGUAUGAAGCUGCACCCUGCGGAGCAUCUGGUUUAUAUUAGAGGUCAAAUGCCAAAGUCAAGGUCAGAGUGACCUUAUUUUGGUAUAUGACACACCCA
Molecule: long non-coding RNA, 398 nt
Filed under: Mytilus galloprovincialis (Mediterranean mussel)
Lineage: Eukaryota; Metazoa; Mollusca; Bivalvia; Mytilida; Mytilidae
Source: RNAcentral